This 207-nucleotide ribosomal RNA is filed under the name Pediococcus pentosaceus. RNAcentral describes it as "partial 16S ribosomal RNA". It matches the Rfam family "Bacterial small subunit ribosomal RNA", at positions 569 to 775 of the family's 1533-position model. Lineage: Bacteria; Bacillati; Bacillota; Bacilli; Lactobacillales; Lactobacillaceae. The record is from RNAcentral.
GCGCAGGCGGUCUUUUAAGUCUAAUGUGAAAGCCUUCGGCUCAACCGAAGAAGUGCAUUGGAAACUGGGAGACUUGAGUGCAGAAGAGGACAGUGGAAUUCCAUGUGUAGCGGUGAAAUGCGUAGAUAUAUGGAAGAACACCAGUGGCGAAGGCGGCUGUCUGGUCUGCAACUGACGCUGAGGCUCGAAAGCAUGGGUAGCGAACAG